RNAcentral lists this long non-coding RNA (487 nucleotides) under Androctonus crassicauda. Lineage: Eukaryota; Metazoa; Arthropoda; Arachnida; Scorpiones; Buthidae. The record is from RNAcentral.
AGUAGUUCAAUAGUUUUUUGGUAUUGUCACUUUUUCAAUUUUACUAUAUGUAAUCACUUCUAUAGUAAAGAUGACUGAGAAUAUGAUUAGUGUUGAACAGUGGAAUGCUGUGAUGAAUAUGUUAUCCCGCUUAACAACUCAAGUAAAUAGUUUUCAAGAACAGAUUACAAGAUUAAGUUCUUCUGGGAACGCACCAGCCACCGGAGGUUAUCAGUAUACACAGGAACAAUGUAAUCCUGAAGCUCCUGUCUUCCAACGUAGGCCAGAAAUGUCGUCAAACUCCUGACCGAUUAUUGUUAUGAAUGCUCUGUUGCCACCCAUGCCAAAAUAUGAUGAUAAGACUAAAUGACUAUAAAUGACUUCUUUUCUGAUAUAGAACAUUAUUUUAUAGCACAGGAAAUUUCCCAAGACAGAUGGGUUGAUGUUGCCGCUGGCCAAUUAGAAGGAAAUCCUUCCCAAAUGGUGGUGAACGGAAGGCAGAACAAGC